UGUCAGCUGUAAUCAGUAUUAUCAUCCUACUUUAUAGGUCAAGAAACCAACUUGGAAAAACUAGGAAAUGUCCCCAGUGUCACACAGCUAAUAAACCAGUGGUAGAGUUGGAUUUGAAGCCUGGUGGAUUUACUCCUGAGCCCACCCACCACUGCUUCCUCCGGAAAUGAUGUUCAUAGGAAGGAGUUAAUUGAGGAUAACACAGAAAUGAAACAUGAGACUAGAAGAAUGAGUUGUUGGAUA
This is a long non-coding RNA of Cebus imitator (Panamanian white-faced capuchin), 243 nucleotides long. RefSeq lists it as uncharacterized. The record is from RefSeq and is a predicted model, not a curated record. The transcript has 2 exons. Lineage: Eukaryota; Metazoa; Chordata; Mammalia; Primates; Cebidae.